Molecule: long non-coding RNA, 906 nt
Filed under: Malus domestica (apple)
Lineage: Eukaryota; Viridiplantae; Streptophyta; Magnoliopsida; Rosales; Rosaceae
Description: long non-coding RNA (MDOM_LNC000791)
Source: RNAcentral
GGCCAAUGGCCCACCAAUGUCAUUCUUAGCAUGUGUUUAAUGUUCUAGGUUCAGUUUUGAUAAUUGAUUGACGUAAAUUGAGUAAUUGAACCUAAGUUCGUUACAAUUCGUGGUUAGGUGAAAAUGUGAAUUGACGAUCCGACCGUUGGAUCGUCACCAAACAUUGAUAUGUUGUAAUACGUAAUAUUUGAGGAUUAUAGGAACUUACGGAUUGGGAAUCCGAUUUACGGAUCUUCCAGAAUUGGAGUUGUAAGUUCAUAAAAUAGAAUGUUAACCGUCACUUGGUUUUGACAAUUGACGGAGAUCCGAUCGUUGGAUGGUAAGGAAAUUUUAAGAUGUUGUUCUAGAGAUAUAUUGUGGACCUCUGGAAGUUAUGGAUUGGAAAUCUGAGUUGCAGAUCUUCCAGAUCGAACUACGUAGUGACGUGUUUUAUAUAAGUUAUAUAUUCCAUCGAUAUGAUUUCUGAGGUUUGAUUUGAUGAUUGUUCUAGGCGCCGAUCGUCAUGACGUCUUGAUGUGUUGUGCUAGGUAGUUGUAGGGCGAACUCCAGGUGAGUGGGCAGUUAUUUUCGGUUUAUACCUAUAUACUACUGAUAUUUCCCAGAAAUUGAAUUUAAACGAAGGUAUGUUUGCCAUGCAUACAUAAUAUAUGAAUUAUAUGAAUUAGUAUUUGAUGCAUAUAUAUGAAAUGGUGCUGUGGACGCACAUGUGAGUAUCAGGUGAGUUUUAUGUGUUCAUGUGAAUUAUUAAUGAUAUGAAUUGUGUUGAGAGCUCAUAACCUACACCCCUGGUGUUAGUGCUUAUAUUAUUCACCCCGCACCAUACACUCACCUUGGAUCCAAGUAGGUGCAUGUCGUACAGACCACGAGAGGUGGUUCCGACUUGUAGGUGACUUUAGAUUAUUAUAC